Molecule: ribosomal RNA, 460 nt
Filed under: uncultured bacterium
Lineage: Bacteria
Description: partial 16S ribosomal RNA
Rfam family: Bacterial small subunit ribosomal RNA
Source: RNAcentral
CCUACGGGUGGCAGCAGUGAGGAAUAUUGGUCAAUGGCCGUAAGGCUGAACCAGCCAAGUAGCGUGAAGGAAGACUGCCCUAUGGGUUGUAAACCUCUUUUAUGCGGGGAUAAAGGUGUCCACGUGUGGCUGUUUGCAGGUACCGCAUGAAUAAGGACCGGCUAAUUCCGUGCCAGCAGCCGCGGUAAUACGGAGGGUCCGGGCGUUAUCCGGAUUUAUUGGGUUUAAAGGGUGCGUAGGCCGGUCUUUAAGCGUGCCGUGAAAUUUUGGGGCUCAACCAUGAGAGUGCGGCGCGAACUGGAGACCUUGAGUGUGCUGAAGGCAGGCGGAAUGUGUGGUGUAGCGGUGAAAUGCUUAGAGAUCACGAAGAACCCCGAUUGCGAAGGCAGCCUGCCGCAGCGUUACUGACGUUGAAGCUCGAAAGCGCGGGUAGCGAACAGGAUUAGAUACCCUGGUAGUC